RNAcentral lists this ribosomal RNA (427 nucleotides) under uncultured Methylococcaceae bacterium. Its description in RNAcentral is "partial 16S ribosomal RNA". It matches the Rfam family "Bacterial small subunit ribosomal RNA", at positions 355 to 774 of the family's 1533-position model. The record is from RNAcentral. Lineage: Bacteria; Pseudomonadati; Pseudomonadota; Gammaproteobacteria; Methylococcales; Methylococcaceae.
UGGGGAAUAUUGGACAAUGGGCGCAAGCCUGAUCCAGCCAUGCCGCGUGUGUGAAGAAGGCCUGCGGGUUGUAAAGCACUUUAAGGUGGAAAGAAGGCCUGGGGGCGAAUACCCUCUGGGAUUGACGUUACCACCAGAAUAAGCACCGGCUAACUCCGUGCCAGCAGCCGCGGUAAUACGGAGGGUGCAAGCGUUAAUCGGAAUUACUGGGCGUAAAGCGCGCGUAGGCGGUUCACUCAGUCUGCUGUGAAAGCCCUGGGCUUAACCUGGGAACGGCAGUGGAAACUGGUGAGCUAGAGUAUGGUAGAGGGGAGUGGAAUUUCCGGUGUAGCAGUGAAAUGCGUAGAGAUCGGAAGGAACACCAGUGGCGAAGGCGGCUCUCUGGACCAAUACUGACGCUGAGGUGCGAAAGCGUGGGGAGCAAACA